Molecule: long non-coding RNA, 814 nt
Organism: Chrysoperla carnea
Lineage: Eukaryota; Metazoa; Arthropoda; Insecta; Neuroptera; Chrysopidae
Exons: 10
Source: RefSeq, a predicted model, not a curated record
AUUGCUAUGCAUUUUUUGUUAAUAUCGGAAAUUAAAAUCAUAAUUCUCGAUCACUUCUUGUUUGCUUUCAAUGGAGAACAGUAGUCUUCUUUUGAACGGACAUUCCAUCAUGGUCAAAUGGUGCUGUAUCCCGUAUGGAUUCUUUUGCCAGUCAAAGCUAAGUCCUGGUUAAUGGCAGAAUUUUUAAAAGUGAUCAGAUAGAAACAUCUAAGGACUUCUUUUCAAUUAUGUUGAUUAUUAAGAAAAGCAGCCCCGUUUUACACCUCGUGUCUCAUCAUCUAAAUUGGCGGGAAUGCUUAAUAUUAAGUGGUUGAGAAAAUGGCGGUGUUGAUGAAUUCAUUUAAUUGGAAGAGAUUAUUUAAAUAAAAUGACGAAUAUCACAUGGAAAAAUAUGGUUUUAAAUAACCGAGCGUGUUUUAGAUGCUUGUCAUAAACAUCACGUGAAAAAACAAUGGUUUUGUCGAUGCCUAUCUGAGUACUUAUUUUAAGACCAAUUUGGAGUUCCGUGGACUUAUUUCGUUAAUAUCACAGUAGCAUUUACAUUCGUCACAUGCCGUAUAGUCGAAAAUGUUACCUAAGAAGAAUUUUCCGGGGUGAUCGACAUUUCACAACACUCCUUCCGGAUUUCGUUAGUCUACGUUUUAUAAAAGAAGACUUACAUGUCAAGAUGAAUUGCAUGCAUGUUUGUGAAUUGUGAAUCUCCAGUUUGAAAAAUAUCCAGAAGAGAAUCGUCACUUCUAUUUUUAUAUUUAAUGUUGUUUAAUGGAAUAAAAACCAGUGUAUAACAUUGCCUUGUAUUAUUAAAAAAUUGGGA